Molecule: non-coding RNA, 1203 nt
Organism: Microcebus murinus (gray mouse lemur)
Lineage: Eukaryota; Metazoa; Chordata; Mammalia; Primates; Cheirogaleidae
Source: RefSeq, a predicted model, not a curated record
CGUCGCCGCCAGGGCCGAGACACAUCCGCACCAGCCAGUCUGCGCCGCGGGCCGGUGGCCUGAUUUCUCCCCUUCCUUUGUUGUAGCUCACACAAAAGACUACGACUCCAGUGUGGUCAGCGGGCCCGCGCUGGAUUACACGCCAGGCCAUUCUUUGGGCCGGAGCCUUUGGGGGGGCCGGGGUGCGUCCCCUCCCAGGGCCAGAACUCCGGGCCUCGCCAGCGUCUGCGACCUGUCUCCCUCCCUCCGCCACAUCCACCCACCUACCGCCUUUGUCCCUUUCAGCUGGCGGCCAGGCCCGCGCUUGCCUUUUGGCCGCUCUGAGAUCGCUCUGGCGGCGGCCGCGGGCGUCCUCCCCGCCCCUCCCUUCCUCCCAAAGCCCAUUCAGUCGCCUGUCCUUAUCUCUCCCUCGCCCGUCCCUCUCCAUCCCUCUCUCUCCAGUUUCCAAGGCUGCCGUUGCCAUGGCGCUCACACAACUUGAGGGCUGAACAGGGGGGUUUUCUAUGGUGUCUGCCAAACUCUCAAAACUCGGGAGGAUGAAGGCCGCCCAAAGUCCUUGGGAUUCCCCCAGCGCUGAGGAGAGUGACAUUUAACUCACCACCCUCUCUACUCAGUGACCCCAGUGUUCAACAGCGUGCUCGGAUUCUGGGAAAUUCAGCGCUGAAUUGGGAAGAUAAUUCGAGUCACGCUUAGGGACAAUUUGCUUGUAAAAGCUGGACGGGGUCCCCCUCCAAAGAAAUACAUCCCAAGGAUCUUGCUUUGCAGCCCGGGCUAGAGUGCAGUGGCAUAUCAUCACAGCUCGCUGUAACCGCAAACUACGGGGCUCAAGUGAUCUCCCUGCCUCAACCUCCCAGUGUGGCCCGUGGAUCAGCUGCAAGAGCAUUAUCUGGGAGUUUGGUAGAAAUGAAGAAUCUCCAGUCCCAUCCAGACUUGCUGCACCAGAAUCUGCAUUUAACAAAACACCCAAGUGAUUUUUAUGCUACCACCAGAGAGGACUGCUCUAGUCCACAGCAUGCAUCCAGUAGAGAUGACGUUCAAAAGUGUCUCCAUCACUAAAUUCCCUAAAGGCAGAGAUCUUCUCCCUCUGAUUUGCCAUCUAUACCCAGCACUUAACGAUAACUUCGGUGCCCAGUAAGAGUUCAAGAAACAUUUGUUGAGUGAUGGACUAAAUGAAUAAAUAUGUGAAUAGUGAGUCAGAGCUCU